This 346-nucleotide long non-coding RNA is filed under the name Medicago truncatula (barrel medic). RNAcentral describes it as "long non-coding RNA (MTRU_LNC002545)". Lineage: Eukaryota; Viridiplantae; Streptophyta; Magnoliopsida; Fabales; Fabaceae. The record is from RNAcentral.
GACAGAGUAGCAACAUUGACUUUCAUGUCUUGUAAAAGACUCGCAUUCCGCAAGAUAUAUUUUACAAAUCGAAAACCAUCUUUGAAGCCUUGAAAGUAUAAAAUAGUACAUGAUUUGAGGUGAGUCAAGACACAUUCAUGAACUGAGGUUGAGCUUUUGCAACUCGCGUGUGAAUGUCAAAGGGGUUAAAAAUAAGAUUUAUUAAAAUAUAAGAUACAAAGAAAAGAACAAGCAAAAAAAAUAAAAUACUAAUCCACAAACCUUUUUACCACGUAUCACAGAAAUAUCAGGAUGAUUAUGAUAUUCAUCAAAACCAAACCAACAUAUUUCAAAUGUAGGGUUUUGA